GAUGAACGCUAGCGGCAGGCCUAAUACAUGCAAGUCGAGGGGCAGCAGGAAUAGCAAUAUUCGCUGGCGACCGGCGCACGGGUGCGUAACACGUAUACAAUCUGCCUCUAACAGGGGGAUAGCCCGGAGAAAUCCGGAUUAAUACCCCAUAACAGUGAUCUUGGCAUCAAGGACACUUAAAAGCUCCGGCGGUUAAAGAUGAGUAUGCUUCUGAUUAGCUAGUUGGUGAGGUAACGGCUCACCAAGGCGACGAUCAGUAGGGGAUCUGAGAGGAUUAACCCCCACACGGAUACUGAGACACGGAUCCGACUCCUACGGGAGGCAGCAGUAAGGAAUAUUGGACAAUGCCCGCAAGGGUGAUCCAGCCAUGCCGCGUGCAGGAAGACGGCCCUAUGGGUUGUAAACUGCUUUUACACCGGAGAAAACCCCACUACGUGUAGUGGGCUGAUAGUAUGGUGAGAAUAAGCAUCGGCUAACUUCGUGCCAGCAGCCGCCGUAA
This 499-nucleotide ribosomal RNA is filed under the name uncultured bacterium. Its description in RNAcentral is "partial 16S ribosomal RNA". It matches the Rfam family "Bacterial small subunit ribosomal RNA", at positions 28 to 523 of the family's 1533-position model. The record is from RNAcentral.